RNAcentral lists this ribosomal RNA (957 nucleotides) under Trichophyton longifusum. RNAcentral's name for it is "SSU rRNA". It matches the Rfam family "Eukaryotic small subunit ribosomal RNA", at positions 103 to 1065 of the family's 1831-position model. Lineage: Eukaryota; Fungi; Ascomycota; Eurotiomycetes; Onygenales; Arthrodermataceae. The record is from RNAcentral.
CAAUCAGUUAUCGUUUAUUUGAUAGUACCUUACUACAUGGAUACCUGUGGUAAUUCUAGACCUAAUACAUGCUAAAAACCUCGACUUCGGAAGGGGUGUAUUUAUUAGAUAAAAAACCAAUGCCCUUCGGGGCUCUCUGGUGAUUCAUAAUAACUUCUCGAAUCGCAUGGCCUUGCGCCGGCGAUGGUUCAUUCAAAUUUCUGCCCUAUCAACUUUCGAUGGUAGGAUAGUGGCCUACCAUGGUGGCAACGGGUAACGGGGAAUUAGGGUUCGAUUCCGGAGAGGGAGCCUGAGAAACGGCUACCACAUCCAAGGAAGGCAGCAGGCGCGCAAAUUACCCAAUCCCGAUCCGGGGAGGUAGUGACAAUAAAUACUGAUACAGGGCUCUUUAGGGUCUUGUAAUUGGAAUGAGAACAAUUUAAACCCCUUAACGAGGAACAAUUGGAGGGCAAGUCUGGUGCCAGCAGCCGCGGUAAUUCCAGCUCCAAUAGCGUAUAUUAAAGUUGUUGCAGUUAAAAAGCUCGUAGUUGAACCUUGGGCCUGGCUGGCCGGUCCGCCUCACGGCGUGCACUGGUCCGGCUGGGCCUUUCCUUCUGGGGAACCCCAUGGCCUUCACUGGCCGUGGGCGGAACCAGGACUUUUACUGUGAAAAAAUUAGAGUGUUCAAAGCAGGCCUUUGCUCGGAUACAUUAGCAUGGAAUAAUAGAAUAGGACGUGUGGUUCUAUUUUGUUGGUUUCUAGGACCGCCGUAAUGAUUAAUAGGGAUAGUCGGGGGCGUCAGUAUUCGGCUGUCAGAGGUGAAAUUCUUGGAUUUGCUGAAGACUAACUACUGGGAAAAGCAUUCGCCCAGGGAUGUUUUCAUUAAUCAGUGAACAAAAGUUAGGGGAUCGAAAGACGAUCAGAUACCCGUCGUAGUCUUAACCAUAAACUAUGCCGACUAAGGAUCGGAACGGGGUU